This 539-nucleotide ribosomal RNA is filed under the name uncultured bacterium. Its description in RNAcentral is "bacterial SSU rRNA". It matches the Rfam family "Bacterial small subunit ribosomal RNA", at positions 777 to 1315 of the family's 1533-position model. The record is from RNAcentral.
AAUAGAUACCCAGGUAGUCCAUGCCGUAAACGUUGGGCACUAGGUGUGGGGGACAUUCCACGUUUUCCGCGCCGUAGCUAACGCAUUAAGUGCCCCGCCUGGGGAGUACGGCCGCAAGGCUAAAACUCAAAGGAAUUGACGGGGGCCCGCACAAGCGGCGGAGCAUGCGGAUUAAUUCGAUGCAACGCGAAGAACCUUACCAAGGCUUGACAUGUGCCAGACCGCCUCAGAGAUGGGGUUUCCCUUCGGGGCUGGUUCACAGGUGGUGCAUGGUUGUCGUCAGCUCGUGUCGUGAGAUGUUGGGUUAAGUCCCGCAACGAGCGCAACCCUCGUUCCAUGUUGCCAGCACGUAGUGGUGGGGACUCAUGGGAGACUGCCGGGGUCAACUCGGAGGAAGGUGGGGAUGACGUCAAAUCAUCAUGCCCCUUAUGCCUUGGGCUUCACGCAUGCUACAAUGGCCGGUACAAUGGGUUGCGAUACUGUGAGGUGGAGCUAAUCCCUAAAAGCCGGUCUCAGUUCGGAUUGGGUCUGCAACUCCG